This 458-nucleotide ribosomal RNA is filed under the name uncultured bacterium. RNAcentral describes it as "partial 16S ribosomal RNA". It matches the Rfam family "Bacterial small subunit ribosomal RNA", at positions 340 to 795 of the family's 1533-position model. The record is from RNAcentral.
CCCGGGAGGCAGCAGUGAGAAAUAUUGGUCAAUGGGCGCGAGCCUGAACCAGCCAAGUCGCGUGAGGGAUGACGGUCCUACGGAUUGUAAACCUCUUUUGCCGGGGAGCAAGCGUUCGGUCGUGAACGCGCGUCGCGAGUACCCGGAUAAAAAGCAUCGGCUAACUCCGUGCCAGCAGCCGCGGUAAUACGGAGGAUGCGAGCGUUAUCCGGAUUUAUUGGUUUUAAAGGGUGCGUAGGCGGGAUGCCAAGUCAGCGGUAAAAAUGCGGUGCUCAACGCCGUCGAACCGUUGACACUGGCGUUAUUGAGUGGGCGAGAAGUAUGCGGAAUGCGUGGUGUAGCGGUGAAAUGCAUAGAGAUCACGCAGAACUCCGAUUGCGAAGGCAGCAUACCGGCGCCCUACUGACGCUGAGGCACGAAAGCGUGGGUAUCGAACAGGAUUAGAUACCCUUGUAGUC